CAGUAGCCGCGGUAAUACGAAGGGGGCUAGCGUUGCUCGGAAUUACUGGGCGUAAAGGGCGCGUAGGCGGACAUUUAAGUCGGGGGUGAAAGCCCGGGGCUCAACCUCGGAAUUGCCUUCGAAACUGGCUGUCUUGAGUACGGGAGAGGUGAGUGGAACUCCGAGUGUAGAGGUGAAAUUCGUAGAUAUUCGGAAGAACACCAGUGGCGAAGGCGACUCACUGGCCCGUUACUGACGCUGAGAGACGAAAGCUAGGGGAGCAAAUGGGAUUAGAUACCCCAGUAGUCCCUGUCUCUUAUAC
This 301-nucleotide ribosomal RNA is filed under the name uncultured bacterium. Its description in RNAcentral is "partial 16S ribosomal RNA". It matches the Rfam family "Bacterial small subunit ribosomal RNA", at positions 509 to 807 of the family's 1533-position model. The record is from RNAcentral.